This 427-nucleotide ribosomal RNA is filed under the name Kurixalus naso (long-snouted treefrog). Its description in RNAcentral is "12S ribosomal RNA". It matches the Rfam family "Bacterial small subunit ribosomal RNA", at positions 901 to 1521 of the family's 1533-position model. Lineage: Eukaryota; Metazoa; Chordata; Amphibia; Anura; Rhacophoridae. The record is from RNAcentral.
CCAAAGGACUUGACGGUGUCCCACCCUACUAGAGGAGCCUGUCCUAUAAUUGAUGAUCCCCGAUAUACCCUACCAUUACUCGCUUACCAGUCUGUAUACCGCCGUCGUAAGUUUACCGUGUGAACGCACAACAGUAAGCCCAAGGACUUCCCCGCCACAACGUCAGGCCAAGGUGCAAUUUAUGUAAUGGAAAGUGAUGGGCUACAAUUUCUAAUAUAGAACAUACGAAAAACUACAUGAAACAUAGUCAUGAAGGUGGAUUUAGUAGUAAAUAAGGAAUAGAGAGCCUUAUUAAACCUGGCCCUGGGAUGUGUACAAACCGCCCGUCACCCUCUUCAAUAGCCUCCAAAUAGUUUAAUAACUCAAUCUUGCACAAUAGAAGAGGCAAGUCGUAACAUGGUAAGUGUACCGGAAGGUGUACUUGGUA